UGCGGAGGGAUCAUUACCGAGUUAUUCAACUCAUCAACCCUGUGAACAUACCUAAACGUUGCUUCGGCGGGAAUAGACGGCCCCGUGAAACGGGCCGCCCCCGCCAGAGGACCCUUAACUCUGUUUCUAUAAUGUUUCUUCUGAGUAAAACAAGCAAAUAAAUUAAAACUUUCAACAACGGAUCUCUUGGCUCUGGCAUCGAUGAAGAACGCAGCGAAAUGCGAUAAGUAAUGUGAAUUGCAGAAUUCAGUGAAUCAUCGAAUCUUUGAACGCACAUUGCGCCCGCCAGUAUUCUGGCGGGCAUGCCUGUUCGAGCGUCAUUACAACCCUCAGGCCCCCGGGCCUGGCGUUGGGGAUCGGCGGAGCCUCUCUGUGGGCACACGCCGUCCCCCAAAUACAGUGGCGGUCCCGCCGCAGCUUCCAUCGCGUAGUAGCUAACACCUCGCGACUGGAGAGCGGCGCGGCCACGCCGUAAAACACCCAACUCUUCUGAAGUUGACCUCGAAUCAGGUAGGAAUACCCGCUGAACUUAAGCAUAUCAAUA
Molecule: ribosomal RNA, 544 nt
Filed under: Fusarium lateritium
Lineage: Eukaryota; Fungi; Ascomycota; Sordariomycetes; Hypocreales; Nectriaceae
Also listed under: 1 other name
Description: eukaryotic LSU rRNA
Rfam family: 5.8S ribosomal RNA (bases 167-320)
Source: RNAcentral